CAGUCGCCGCGGGAAUACGUAGGUCCCGAGCGUUGUCCGGAUUUAUUGGGCGUAAAGCGAGCGCAGGCGGUUUGAUAAGUCUGAAGUUAAAGGCUGUGGCUUAACCAUAGUACGCUUUGGAAACUGUUUAACUUGAGUGCAAGAGGGGAGAGUGGAAUUCCAUGUGUAGCGGUGAAAUGCGUAGAUAUAUGGAGGAACACCGGUGGCGAAAGCGGCUCUCUGGCUUGUAACUGACGCUGAGGCUCGAAAGCGUGGGGAGCAAACAGGAUUAGAUACCCCUGUAGUCCCUGUCUCUUAUACA
Molecule: ribosomal RNA, 301 nt
Filed under: uncultured bacterium
Lineage: Bacteria
Description: partial 16S ribosomal RNA
Rfam family: Bacterial small subunit ribosomal RNA
Source: RNAcentral